Molecule: transfer RNA, 59 nt
Filed under: Gammarus duebeni
Lineage: Eukaryota; Metazoa; Arthropoda; Malacostraca; Amphipoda; Gammaridae
Description: tRNA-Thr
Source: RNAcentral
GUCCCCGUAGUUUAUUAAAACCUUAGUCUUGUAAACUAAAAUAGGCUUGCCCGGUGACU